This 73-nucleotide transfer RNA is filed under the name Bavayia nubila. Its description in RNAcentral is "tRNA-Asn". Lineage: Eukaryota; Metazoa; Chordata; Lepidosauria; Squamata; Diplodactylidae. The record is from RNAcentral.
UAGAUUGAAGCCCGCUGGAUUGGGUUUUUAGUUGUUAACUAAAGGAUUAUGGGAUCAAGGCCCGUCGAUCUAG